RNAcentral lists this ribosomal RNA (490 nucleotides) under uncultured bacterium. RNAcentral's name for it is "partial 16S ribosomal RNA". It matches the Rfam family "Bacterial small subunit ribosomal RNA", at positions 30 to 507 of the family's 1533-position model. The record is from RNAcentral.
AUUGAACGCUGGCGGCAUGCUUUACACAUGCAAGUCGGACGGCAGCACAGAGAAGCUUGCUUCUUGGGUGGCGAGUGGCGAACGGGUGAGUAACAUAUCGGAACGUACCGAGCAGUGGGGGAUAACUAAUCGAAAGAUUAGCUAAUACCGCAUAUCUUCUGAGGAAGAAAGCAGGGGACCAUUUGGCCUUGCGCUGUUUGAGCGGCCGAUAUCUGAUUAGCUAGUUGGUGGGGUAAAGGCCUACCAAGGCGACGAUCAGUAGCGGGUCUGAGAGGAUGAUCCGCCACACUGGGACUGAGACACGGCCCAGACUCCUACGGGAGGCAGCAGUGGGGAAUUUUGGACAAUGGGCGCAAGCCUGAUCCAGCCAUGCCGCGUGUCUGAAGAAGGCCUUCGGGUUGUAAAGGACUUUUGUCAUGGAAGAAAAGGGCGGGGUUAAUACCCCUGUCUGAUGACGGUACCUGAAGAAUAAGCACCGGCUAACUACGUG